This 244-nucleotide long non-coding RNA is filed under the name Lathyrus oleraceus (garden pea). Its description in RNAcentral is "Pisum sativum (pea) long non-coding RNA (PSAT_LNC007984)". The record is from RNAcentral. Lineage: Eukaryota; Viridiplantae; Streptophyta; Magnoliopsida; Fabales; Fabaceae.
UUUAAAAAAAAAAUUUGAUUUAAUUGUCUGAUUGAUUUUUCACAAAUGCGUAGUAAUUUUAAAAUUAAAAAUUCAAUUUAACUUCCGAUUUUACCUCGAGUCCCUUGGCUUCCUCUUGGGCCUUCUUACAACGAGAUUUUUUUUUCUUUUUCAAAUUGUCUUUUAAAACUUAUAUCAUUUAAUUAUUAUAUUAUAUCCCCAUUCGACAAAUUGUACCCCAUUCCCGAAAAUGUGUAAUAAAUUU